UAGGAAGGAUUUACUGAACUAAGUCUUCCCCUUUCUGGAAGCAUGCGUGAAGGGCCAUUGAGGCAACGGUAGAAAAGCUGUCCUGUUUUCAAAGGUCUCCCAACAAGGAGGCAAAGCACUUUCCAGGUUUGGGGAUCAGCACUUUUUCAAGGCCACUGCAUUCCAUGCUCUUGGUUGUGAUACGAUGGGCGCUCUGCCGCCCCCUCUGGCCUGGCUGGCCUCGAUGCUCCUCUGGUCCAGUCUCUGGGCUGGAAACCACAGCUGGCCCUUCCUGAAAUGACUCAAUAUCCAACUUGGACACAGCUCCAGUCUCCUCCCUGCCACCUCCAGGCAACCAGUCCCGCAGGACCAAGCUAGGACCACAGAGGUCCCAGCUUUUCUCAGAAAGAUCCCUCUGCUGACCAAGGAUGGCCACGCCAGAAAUUCUGCAAAAUGCAAGAGCAAGCACUUUCAAGCCGGAGUUUCGUGUUUCCUGUCCCUGCGGGCUCAUUCUGCCAAACUUCACGAUACCAGAUGGAAUGAGGAAACCAGAGCAAACUGGAGGUCAGCUUGGAGUGAGCGAGGAAGGCUGUGUCAAUAUGGGGGUGCACCACGGGGUCUCCACAUGGAGAGCAGCUGCAGAGAGUCACCACACGUGCAACAAGGCUUUGUGUCAGAUCCCAUCCAGGCAGUACAACAUUACAUUUUGUCAUUGCAUCCCCUUAAGGACAUGACAGUUUCUCCGACUGUCCUUGCUUUUGAGCACCUUGACAGCUGUAAGGAGUGCUGGUCAGGGAAGGCUAAGGUGCGGUUUAUUGCCCAGGGAAGCGGAGGGCUGAUUCAGAGCAAGGCGUCAUGGAGGGAUGAAGCAGGACAUGAUGCAGAGAAGCUGCUGCCCACAGCAGUAGGACCAGAACGGUG
Molecule: long non-coding RNA, 900 nt
Filed under: Equus caballus (horse)
Lineage: Eukaryota; Metazoa; Chordata; Mammalia; Perissodactyla; Equidae
Description: lncRNA (ENSECAG00000060082.1)
Source: RNAcentral